AGAGCGAACGCUGGCGGCAGGCCUAAUACAUGCAAGUCGAACGGACCCUUCGGGGUUAGUGGCGGACGGGUGAGUAACACGUGGGAACGUGCCCUUUGGUUCGGAACAACUCAGGGAAACUUGAGCUAAUACCGAAUGUGCCCCCAUCCUUAAACAAGAUGGGUGGGAAAGAUUUAUCGCCAUUGGAGCGGCCCGCGUCUGAUUAGCUAGUUGGUGAGGUAACGGCUCACCAAGGCUUUGAUCGGUAACCGGUCUGAGAGGACGAUCGGUCACACUGGAACUGAGACACGGUCCAGACUCCUACGGGAGGCAGCAGUGGGGAUAUUGCGCAAUGGGCGAAAGCCUGACGCAGCGACGCCGCGUGGGGGAUGAAGCUUUUCGGAGUGUAAACCCCUUUGACCCGGACGAAAGCCCGCAAGGGCCUGACGGUACGGGUAUAAGAAGCCCCGGCUAACACGUGCCAGCAGCCGC
Molecule: ribosomal RNA, 471 nt
Filed under: uncultured bacterium
Lineage: Bacteria
Description: SSU rRNA
Rfam family: Bacterial small subunit ribosomal RNA
Source: RNAcentral